GUCCACGCUGUAAACGUUGGGUGCUAGGUGUCGCGGGUAUUGACCCCUGCGGUGCCGACGCUAACGCAUUUAGCACCCCGCCUGGGGAGGUACGGUCGCAAGGCUAAAACUCAAGGAAUUGACGGGGGCCCGGCACAAGCGGUGGAGCAUGUGGUUUAAUUCGAAGCAACGCGCAGAACCUUACCUGGACUUGACAUCUGGGGAACCUCCUGGAAACAGGAGGGUGCCUUCGGGAGCCCCAAGACAGGUGCUGCAUGGCUGUCGU
RNAcentral lists this ribosomal RNA (265 nucleotides) under uncultured bacterium. RNAcentral describes it as "partial 16S ribosomal RNA". It matches the Rfam family "Bacterial small subunit ribosomal RNA", at positions 793 to 1055 of the family's 1533-position model. The record is from RNAcentral.